RNAcentral lists this ribosomal RNA (559 nucleotides) under uncultured bacterium. RNAcentral describes it as "bacterial SSU rRNA". It matches the Rfam family "Bacterial small subunit ribosomal RNA", at positions 1 to 554 of the family's 1533-position model. The record is from RNAcentral.
AAUUCGAUUAGAGUUUGAUCCUGGCUCAGAUUGAACGCUGGCGGCAUGCCUUACACAUGCAAGUCGAACGGCAGCACGGCUUCUUGCUCCUGGUGGCGAGUGGCGAACGAGUGAGUAAUACAUCCGAGCCUACCCAUGAGGGAGGGAUACCGUAACGAAAGUUACGCUCAUACCGAAUAUUCUGUGAGAAAGAAAGCGAUCGAUCGACAGAGCUCUCGCUCUUGGAGCGAUCGAUGUCUGAUUAGCUAGUUGGGGAGGAAAAAGCUCACCAGAGCAACCAUCCCUAGCCUGACUGAAAGAACGAUCUGCCUCACUGGGACAGACACUCCGCCCUCACUCCUACGGGAGGCAUCAGGGAUUAAUUUCGAAGGAUGGGGGCCACCUCGAUCCAUGCCUGCCGAGUGAGUAAAGACUGCCUUCUGGAUGGAUCGCUCUUUCGGGAGGAAAUAAAUAGCGACGGCUACUAUUCGUGGUUGAUGACCCCACCCAAAUAACAACGACUGGCUACCUGCCUGCCACCACCCUCGUACAUACGUAGGGAGCGAUAGUUAAUACUUAC